Molecule: long non-coding RNA, 1860 nt
Filed under: Macaca fascicularis (crab-eating macaque)
Lineage: Eukaryota; Metazoa; Chordata; Mammalia; Primates; Cercopithecidae
Description: lncRNA (ENSMFAG00000065675.1)
Source: RNAcentral
UUUUUUUUUUUUUGCCACAGCCUCAUUCUUUCCCUGAGACUGGAGUACAGUGGCAUGAUCUUGGCUCACUGCAACCUCCGCUUCCCGGGCUCAAGCGAUUCUCCUGCCUCGGACUCUCCAGUAGCUGGGACUACAGGCAUGUGCCACCACGCUGGGCUAAUUUUUGUAUUUUUAGUAGAGAUGAGGUUUCACCAUGUUGGCCAGGCUGGUCUCAAACUCCUGAGGUCAAAUGAUCUGCCUGCCUCGGUCUCGGCCUCCGAAAGUGCUGGUAAUACAGGCAUGAGCCACGGCCCCCGGAAAAAGUGCUUAUUUUUAAUUAUGUUUAUGUUUUUAUUUUAAAUAACAGCUAAGCCAAUAACGUAACGAUUUCCUUUGUCCUUGCUAACAAGACCUGCCGAUCCACCCAUCUCUCGGCACCAGCAGUCUGGAAGAGAAAUCUCAAAUUAGUUGAGAAAAUGAGGUGGCCAAAAUUGUUCUAGCUGUCUACCUAACCUCAUUCUCCAUCAGUCUCUUCAUGGAGGAACACGUGAGGACCACACACGUUCUGGUUGCUCUGGUUCUGGGAUUAAAUGAAAAAAAAAUGUAGGGAAACUGUAAAUCCUAAUUCACCAUACAAAUGUGAGUUUAUUAUCGUACUAUUAUCAUCUGUGUGAUAUCUUGGUUUACCUUUAAGGCAGCCUGAGUUUCAAACCUGCAGUAGAAGGAGUGAAGGCUACGAUACCCUCCCGCCAUGGUCUCUCUGACAACUGCUGGGCUGAGGAGAGUCUCAGACCUCUGGCAAUAGACUGAGAUCCUAGUCUAAUCGCAGAAGGAAGGAUGCAGGCAGUGAGAAGCUGAGGGAAGAUUUGGAGCAAAGAUCGUUGGUGAAAAGGCUCAAGAGUAUCUGACCCAUUGAAGUCAUCGUUACAGGGGACGGAUGGAAAAGAAUAGCUGUAGAAUUGUAUGAAAGUCAAAAGUUCUACUAGAAUUUCUUGCCGUCUAGAAAUGCACACCAACCCACACACGCACGUGCGCACACACACUCCAUGUAAACAGUACACACAAGCAGGCACACGGAUUUUGUCAUGUGUGGGGGGCCUAUGUGUCCCCUCCCAAAUACACACUCCUGGAAGCUCACACUGUUUGCCUAGUUCCACAAGAGGUUAGAAAGGCUGCAUGGGUGUCAGCCCUGCCCUCCCCGGGCUUCCCGACAUUAAAAGCAUCAGCAAGUCCAUAAACAGGCGAAAACCCUAGAGGCUCGCCUGGGCAGCGGGGCUCGGGGCCUGCUUUUCCCACAUCGGGCGCUCACAGAUUUACUGCAGCGGGAAUGAACGUUGCUCAGAGCAUGUUUCUCACCCUCGCUAAACUAAUAUUUGGUCUCAGUCCCCUGGAACAAAACCCAGCCUCAGUGUCUGCUGAGCAGCCCUGUGCAUAACAGAAGAGUCAGGCUCGGAAUUGGAGCCAAACAGAAAGGAAAUGCAGUUCAUUUCUCUUUUUCUUGAGUUUUAAAAAUAACUCUUUGCCUUCCUAACCCCCGUCAGAUCUGACCGAGCAUGAGCCCCUCCUCACCUUCCGGAACUUCACCCCCACCCGCACCCUGCACACCCCGGGGCGGCGGUUCAGGCUUCCCCGGACAGGCGUGGCCCGGCCUCGGCGCCUUCUCCCCGGCACGAAGUCCAGGUCACUUUUCCCGAGAGACACUGGGAGCGUGCCCGCGUCCGGACGGAGCGGAGACCCACCUCGUGGGCCCAGGACUCUGCAGUCUUCCGCUGAGCUCACGCUGGGACACAGACUCGCGGAGCGUCCCCAGGUGCCCCUCACAGCGCCCGGGGCCGGGCUUCCGGAACACGCGCCCCGACCUGCUCAGGCCUGCCGGGCUCC